GAUGAACGCUGGCGGCGUGCCUAAUACAUGCAAGUCGAACGCUGGAGAUCUAGCUUGCUAGAUCGAAGGAGUGGCGAACGGGUGAGUAAUACAUAAGCAACCUACCCACGAAGACUGGGAUAAUCUCUGGAAACGGGGACUAAUACCGGAUAGGUAAUCGGAAGGCAUCUUCUGGUUAUUAAAGGUUAAAAACACUGGUGGAUGGGCUUAUGGCGCAUUAGUUAGUUGGUGAGGUAACGGCCCACCAAGACGAUGAUGCGUAGCCGGCCUGAGAGGGUGAACGGCCACAUUGGGACUGAGACACGGCCCAGACUCCUACGGGAGGCAGCAGUAGGGAAUUUUCGGCAAUGGGGGCAACCCUGACCGAGCAACGCCGCGUGAGUGAAGACGGCCUUCGGGUUGUAAAGCUCUGUUGUAAGAGAAGAACGGUAGAUAGAGAAUAUCUAAGUGACGGUACCUUACCAGAAAGCCACGGCUAACUACGUG
Molecule: ribosomal RNA, 486 nt
Filed under: uncultured bacterium
Lineage: Bacteria
Description: partial 16S ribosomal RNA
Rfam family: Bacterial small subunit ribosomal RNA
Source: RNAcentral